CUAUCAUUAACUGAAUCCAUAGGUUAAUGAGGCGAACCGGGGGAACUGAAACAUCUAAGUACCCCGAGGAAAAGAAAUCAACCGAGAUUCCCCCAGUAGCGGCGAGCGAACGGGGAGGAGCCCAGAGCCUGAAUCAGCAUGUGUGUUAGUGGAAGCGUCUGGAAAGGCGCGCGAUACAGGGUGACAGCCCCGUACACAAAAGCGCAUGUGCUGUGAGCUCGAUGAGUAGGGCGGGACACGUGGUAUCCUGUCUGAAUAUGGGGGGACCAUCCUCCAAGGCUAAAUACUCCUGACUGACCGAUAGUGAACCAGUACCGUGAGGGAAAGGCGAAAAGAACCCCGGCGAGGGGAGUGAAAAAGAACCUGAAACCGUGUACGUACAAGCAGUGGGAGCACCCUUUGGGUGUGACUGCGUACCUU
RNAcentral lists this ribosomal RNA (420 nucleotides) under Salmonella enterica subsp. enterica serovar Enteritidis. Its description in RNAcentral is "partial 23S ribosomal RNA". It matches the Rfam family "Bacterial large subunit ribosomal RNA", at positions 148 to 607 of the family's 2925-position model. The record is from RNAcentral. Lineage: Bacteria; Pseudomonadati; Pseudomonadota; Gammaproteobacteria; Enterobacterales; Enterobacteriaceae.